AGUGAACGCUGGCGGUAGGCCUAACACAUGCCAGUCGAACGGCAGCACAGUAAUAGCUUGCUCUUACGGGUGGCGAGUGGCGGACGGGUGAGGAAUACAUCGGAAUCUACUUUUUCGUGGGGGAUAACGUAGGGAAACUUACGCUAAUACCGCAUACGACCUACGGGUGAAAGCAGGGGAUCUUCGGACCUUGCGCGAUUGAAUGAGCCGAUGUCGGAUUAGCUGGUUGGCGGGGUAAAGGCCCACCAAGGCGACGAUCCGUAGCUGGUCUGAGAGGAUGAAGAGCCACACUGGGAGUGAGACACGGUCCAGACUCCUACGGGAGGCAGCGGUGGGGGAUAUUGGCCAAUGGGCGCAAGCCUGAUCCAGCCAUGCCGCGUGGGUGAAGAAGGCCUUCGGGUUGUAAAGCCCUUUUGUUGGGAAAGAAAAGCAGCAGGUUAAUACCCCGCUGUUCUGACGGUACCCAAAGAAUAAGCACCGGCUAACUUCGUG
This 492-nucleotide ribosomal RNA is filed under the name uncultured bacterium. RNAcentral's name for it is "partial 16S ribosomal RNA". It matches the Rfam family "Bacterial small subunit ribosomal RNA", at positions 29 to 507 of the family's 1533-position model. The record is from RNAcentral.